RNAcentral lists this ribosomal RNA (231 nucleotides) under uncultured bacterium. RNAcentral's name for it is "partial 16S ribosomal RNA". It matches the Rfam family "Bacterial small subunit ribosomal RNA", at positions 15 to 235 of the family's 1533-position model. The record is from RNAcentral.
AAUCCUGGCUCAGGAUGGACGCUAGCUACAGGCUUAACACAUGCAAGUCGAGGGGCAGCAUGGUCUUAGCUUGCUAAGGCUGAUGGCGACCGGCGCACGGGUGAGUAACACGUAUCCAACCUGCCGUCUACUCUUGGCCAGCCUUCUGGAAGGAAGAUUAAUCCAGGAUGGGAUCAUGAGUUCACAUGUCCGCAUGAUUAAAGGUAUUUUCCGGUAGACGAUGGGGAUGCG